RNAcentral lists this ribosomal RNA (253 nucleotides) under uncultured bacterium. Its description in RNAcentral is "partial 16S ribosomal RNA". It matches the Rfam family "Bacterial small subunit ribosomal RNA", at positions 524 to 776 of the family's 1533-position model. The record is from RNAcentral.
UACGUAGGGGGCAAGCGUUGUCCGGAAUCAUUGGGCGUAAAGAGCGCGUAGGUGGCUCGGUAAGUCCGCUGUGAAAGUCCAGGGCUCAACCCUGGAAAGCCGGUGGAAACUGUCGAGCUCGAGUCCGGAAGAGGCGAGUGGAAUUCCUGGUGUAGCGGUGAAAUGCGCAGAUAUCAGGAGGAACACCAAUGGCGAAGGCAGCUCGCUGGGACGGUACUGACACUGAGACGCGAAAGCGUGGGGAGCAAACAGG